RNAcentral lists this ribosomal RNA (253 nucleotides) under uncultured bacterium. RNAcentral describes it as "partial 16S ribosomal RNA". It matches the Rfam family "Bacterial small subunit ribosomal RNA", at positions 524 to 776 of the family's 1533-position model. The record is from RNAcentral.
UACGUAGGGGGCUAGCGUUGUCCGGAAUUAUUGGGCGUAAAGCGCGUGUAGGCGGCUUUGCAAGUCGGGUGUGAAAGCCCUCAGCUCAACUGAGGAAGUGCGCCCGAAACUGCAGAGCUUGAGUGCCGGAGAGGGUGGCGGAAUUCCCCAAGUAGAGGUGAAAUUCGUAGAUAUGGGGAGGAACACCGGUGGCGAAGGCGGCCACCUGGACGGUAACUGACGCUGAGACGCGAAAGCGUGGGUAGCAAACAGG